This 6503-nucleotide long non-coding RNA is filed under the name Medicago truncatula (barrel medic). RNAcentral describes it as "long non-coding RNA (MTRU_LNC005395)". The record is from RNAcentral. Lineage: Eukaryota; Viridiplantae; Streptophyta; Magnoliopsida; Fabales; Fabaceae.
UAAUAUCUGUCAAUAAUAACCGAUACAAAUCACACCGCAAAAACCCCUGCUACAUGAUAAAAUUGUUGCAGCGAAACCAUUUUAUUUUAUUUUUGAUAGAGUAGUGGAAACAAUUUGAAAAGUGCUUUCCUAACCUUGCAACAUUUGUGUAGGUGACAAUUAACUAUGUUUUGGGAAACUUGGGAAAAGAUUUUUCAGAGACAGUGGCAGUAGCUGAUCUUGGAGGGGGAUCAGUUCAAAUGGUAUAUGCAGUCUCAAGAGAACAAGCAAAAAAAGCUCCACAAGUACCUCAGGGAGAGGAUCCAUACAUAAAAAAGAUUGUACUUAAAGGAAAGAAAUAUUACCUCUAUGUUCACAGGUUUUAUUCUUAUUCUUGGAUAUAAAUUACCAUUUACCAGUGUGAAAAAAUGUUUAGAUAUAUAUAUGUCUUGCUAAUGUUUAUUUCUUUCAGUUAUUUGCGGUUUGGCAAAGAAGCAUCUCGUGCUGAAAUUUUGAAAGUCACUAAUGGUUCUCCUAAUCCUUGCAUUUUAGCUGGCUAUCAUGGUAAACACACGCAACUUCAUUGAUUUACACAUAUCUUUCUAGCAUAAACCAUUCUUAUAACAUGAACCUUUUUAUUCUGCAAAGGCACAUAUACAUAUUCAGGAGAGGAGUAUAAGGCAUUUUCUCCUGCUUCUGGCUCCAACUUUGAUGAAUGCAAAGAGAUAAUUCUUAAGGCACUUAAAGUGAAUGAUCCAUGUCCUUAUGGGAAAUGUAGUUUUGGUGGGAUAUGGAACGGUGGAGGAGGAAGUGGGCAGAAAACUCUUUAUGUUACAUCAUCAUUUUAUUACGUGCCUACAGGGGUAUGUAUCGAGGAUUUCAUGUCGGAUUUCAUGACAUUCACUCAUUUGAUGACCAUUUGAUCAGAAUAGGCAUUUUUUGAACUGGAUCUUGAUCGAACUUCGACUAAUAUUAUUUGUACACGUGUAGGUUAAUAUUGCUGAUCCAAAUAAGCCCAAUUCCAAAAUUCGUAUCGAGGAUCUGAAAACUGGAGCUGAGCAAGUCUGUAAAACAAAAUAUAAGGAUGCCAAAGCCACAUAUCCACUUAUUUAUGAGGAUAGUCUUCCAUAUGCAUGCUUGGAUCUUAUUUACCAAUAUACAUUGUUUGUUGAUGGAUUUGGUAAGUUUGCAUGCUUGAAAUUGCAUUCACUAUUAUUUUACUGUCAUAUUCAAAUUAAGAUGACAUACUCAAAAAUAGGAGCAUACCUCUAGUAUUCUUAGGCAACCUAAGUUAAUGUCUUUUAAGUUAACAAAAAACAUCUAUUUGUUGACGCAGGCCUAGACCCAUUGCAAGAGAUUACCGUGGCAAAUCAAAUUGAAUAUCAAGAUGCCCUUGUGGAUGCAGCAUGGCCUCUAGGCAAUGCAAUAGAAGCUAUAUCAUCAUUGCCCAAAUUUGAUCCUUUCAUGUACUACUUUAUUUAAGCUUCUAGAAUUAAAUAUGGGAUACUUUAGUGUUAAACACUAAGAGCUGUAUCAUCAACACUCUCUCUAAUACCCACUAUCUUAUUAGUUUAUAUCAUUGUGGUCUGCAUUUUGAAAAUAGAAGACAUACAUUGAUUCCAUUCGACAAAAGAGUGGAUGUUAUACAGGGUGUUCAAACGUAAGUGUUGCCAACAUUCUUUAUAAAAUAAACAUAAAACAUCUAAUUUUUCAUUAAUUUUGUUGCAUAUGGCUCGCUUAUGUUAUGGUUAAAAUAGUAAAGCAGAGCAGUUGUUGCAACAUCAAUCAAAUUUUGCUUUAAAUUAAUCAAUUAUCAAUGGCGUCGACCACGUUGGAGAUCCGAAGACAUGAGUAUUUUAGAUACUUGAAUAUAAUCAUAUGUGUAGACUUUUGUACUUUGUCAUUUUGUGCCAUUAACAUAAAUGUUGUGAAUUUGUUCGUAGAUUCAUCCUUUUUAAUUUUAGCAAAUAUACAACAUUAUUAAUUUAAAUGAAUGAAUAUGAUUUAUUUUUGUAAAAAUAAAAUAAAAAUAAUGUGUAAUGAAACGAAGAUUUUAUGCAGAUCGUCCCAUUGGAGUUGCGGGGAAAUUGUGGAUCUUAUAAUAUAUAUUUCAUCUCUAUGUAAACUUUCCUUUUUGUUCAGAUAAGUAUUCUUCGUUUCUAUGUUAAAAUUUAAUAGGUAAAAUCUCUUAUCUUUUUUUUUUUUAACUUUGUUUCCAUUCUUUUUUUUUAAAUCUAAUUUUUGUGGAAUGAUUGUCAUAAUAUUCUACUCGUUUUUGAAAAAUUUCAUUAAAAAAUAUGAAGGUUAGAUAUGAGAUGACUCGGCAAAUACACAUCUUUAAAUGACUCGACAAAUACACAUUUUUAAAUAGCAUCAUCGUCAAAUAUCACAUCUUUAUAUAACACAUUUUUAAAUCACACAUCUUCAAAUAGUAUAUCUUUAUAUAACACAUUAUUUUCACAUCGUGGAAUAACACAUCAAUUUCACAUCAUCAAAUAAUUCACAAAUCACACUUAAUUAAAUAAUUCCUCAAUUAAUAUCUAACCAAUUCAAAAGAUAUGAUAAUGAAAAUAACAGACAUUUAUUCAUGCUUUUGAUCAAUUGAUAAAAAAAAAAAAAUGAAAAUCAAGUAACAGUUAGAAUAUCACAUGGAAUUUAAAUAAAAUAGACAUGGCAACCAGGAGCGAGCACGGCAAUAUGAAUUGAAUGGAACAACAACGUGAAAGAAACAAGUAGAAAAUAUAUGGGUCACGGCUGACAGUAAGGAUCAAACAACUCUUUAAUUGAAAUUGAAACAGGGAGGCAAGGCAACAUCAAGUAAUUGAUUUGGAUUCGCACGACACAUUUAUGAUUUUCCAACAAUUAAAACUCAAUUUAACAGCUACGAAUUCAUAAACAAUACGACAACAACAAUAAGAAGUAACACGCAGGAGUAAUAAGAUUAAAGUACACAACAAGCAAUUAGAGCACAAAUUUUAAUUUAAACAUAGAUUCAUCAAAUAAGGAAACAACAAAAAAUAACAACCUGUCACUACCCAUAUGUUCAUACAACCUUAUGAUGAAUAUAACUCCCCCCUUACCUCUAGUUUUGCGAAAUUGAUGAUUUCCUACGUUGAAAUCUCUCUAAGUUCUUCUGGCUAUUCCUCUUUGCCUCUUCUCUCCAUAGUCGGUAACCCUUUUUCUCUCAUUCUCUUCUCUAUUUAUAAGCUUUAAUAGAGUUUGUUAUCAAUCUUUUUAUGUUAAUAUAUGUCCUCUAGAUUUGUUACUAAUCUUUUCAUAUUACUAUUUGCACCUCUAUAUUUUGUUACUAUUAUUUCUGUAACUACACUGUCUUGCUAUUCACACUCCCCUCUACUUAAAUCAUUAAAGUACUACUCAUCUCACUAACUACACCUCUUUUCUUCCCAAUUUUACUGAUCCUCCCGUUCUCACUCUAAUUUCUUAUUUUCUCUACAAAAAAAAAAAAAAAAAAACUCUAUUUUCCUUCUAAAUAUUAUUUUCUCUCACUCUUUAAAUGACUAAUCAACCCACUCAUUACCUAUUCUUCCAAUAAAUACGAAUAUUUAAAUUAAUACUAUCUAAAAACAUAUACUAAUACUAACAUUAAUACUAAUAUUAUCUAAAAUUAAUAUUAAUAAACUAAUAUUCAAAAUCGAGGUGUUAUAAAUGAUGUAAGACGAAUGAAUAAGACGGAAAUAUCAGUAACACGAUGUCAAUAUCAAACUCCCAUAUAUAAAAUAUGCACCAAUUAACAAGGACAAUAUACUGCUUUUUCUUUUAGGGAAGGAAAACAAUACUUCUUAUUAACUUAAGCUGGAAGCAGAAACCUAUGGUCAAUAUGCAACUUUGAUAAAAUACCACAAAUAUAUAAAUAUCCAAAGAGCUUUGUUAAUAAAAUAUAUACACCAUCCGGUUAUUACUACAAGCAAAAAUUCACAUUUUAGGUUCAUUCAGUAAAUGAUGUCAACAUAUAUCAUUUAUCGAAGGGUUAAUAGUAUUUUACCCCCUGUAAUAUAGGUCAUUUCCAGUUUUCACUUCUUUAAAAUUUUCUUUUUAGAUUCCGUCCUUGUAAUUUGAAGUUUUUUGGUUUUGGACCUUCAUGAAUUUUAACUGUACAAAAUCGAUGAUAUGGCAGGGGGUAAACCGAAAUUUUUUCAAAUUGCAAGGGGGUAAACCGAAAUUUUGUCAAAUUACAGGGGAUAAAAUUUUUCAUGAAGGUCUAAAACAAAAAAAUCUUCAAAUUACAAGGACGGAAUCCAAAAAAAAUAUUUUAUAGGGGGAAAACCGGAAAUGACCUAUAUUACAGGGGGUAAAGCAUUAUAAACCUUUAUCGAAUGAACCUAAAAUAUAAAUUUUUGUGUAUAAUAAUAACAGAAAGGACUAAAUGUACUAACAGUGAAAAACUUAGAAAACCGAAAUAAAUCAAUUUUUAGUUAGAGUACCAAUCUGAUACCAAUUUAUAGAUUAUGGGGCAGCGAUGAUUGUGAGUGAGAGUUUUUACCUUCUGAGGGGAAUAAUGGUGGUAUUCUCUCGAUUUGGCAUAAAUCUAUGUCGACGGUGCAUUAUACGUUUGUGGGAGAAGGUUUUGUCGGAUUAUCGUUGGAGUGAGGGGUUUUAAAGCAUAGGUGUGUUAUUAUAAAUGUUUAUGCAAAAUGUGAAUCGGUGGCCAAGAGGCGGUUGUGGGAGAGAUUGUUGUUGGCUAGAAGAAAUUUGGGGAAGGGGCAUGGUGUGUUCUUGGAGAUUUUAAUACCGUAAGUAGUAGGGAAGAAAGAAGGGGGAUUCAUGAUGAUGCGUCCACAAGUCAAGUUUUAGAUAUGGAUUUCUUCAUUAGAUUUCUAAUCGAAGUGGAGUGGAGUUGGAGGAUCAAAUGGUGGCAGGGAGAAGGUUUACUUGGUAGCACCCUAAUGGUCGGUCAAUGAGCCGGAUUGAUAGAGUUUUGGUGUCGAAGGAAUGGAGGCAUUUUUGGGGGGAUGUGAAUCUUUGGGUCCUUCCAUGGGACGUUUCUGAUCAUUGUCCUUUUCUCCUAAAAGUGAAAGGUUGGGAUUGGGGCCCAAAACCGUUCUGUUUUAAUAAUUUUUGGUUGGAUAAUGGUGAUAUUAAGAAGAUGGUGGAAGAAGUUUUGAGGUCGAGUAAUUUAAGUGGGUGGAUGGGGUAUCUUUUGACGGACAAACUCAAUUCUUAAAGGGAAAUUGAGGGAGUGGAAUAUGGGGGUUUGGAUGACCGGGUGAAGAGGUUGACGGAGGAGAUAGUGGUGUUGGAUGUGUGGGGGGAGGUUGGAGGUUUAAAUGAAGAGGAAGUUCAACUUAGGAAGCUUAAGUUUAGUUCACUUUGGAGGUUACUAAAGGCAAAAGAUUCUUUAUUGGUUCAAAGAUUACGAUCAAGGUGGCUAAAGGAGGGGGAUGAUAAUACUAAGUUCGUCCACAAUUGUAUUAAAUCUAGAGUAAAUGGGAAUUGAUAGUGCGGUUGGGUUUUCCUAGGAAGUGGGUGGCUUGGAUGAAAGCGUGUGUGUGUGGUGGAAAUAUGUUCGUUCUUGUAAAUGGAAUCCCAAUGGAAGAAAUUUGCAUUCAAACAGACCUUAAACAAGGAGAUCCCCUAGCUCCGUUUUUAUUUCUCCAAGUGGCGGAAGGCUUCAGUGGCUUGAUGAGGAAUGCGGGUCGUUUGGAGUUGUUCAAGGGUUUUGGUUUCAUGAGAGAUGGUAUGGUAAUCUCUCACCUACAAUAUGUGGAUGAUACUAUUUGUAUAGGCGUGGCAACUGUGGACUUUGGACUUUGAAAGCAAUGUUGACAGGUUUUGAAUUGACAUCGGGUUUAAAGGUGAAUUUUUCUAAAAGUUGUUUGUUGGGAAUUAAUGUUUCUGGCGACUUCAUGGAGAUGGCGUGUAAUUUUUUUAAUUGCACGGAGGGGACGUUGCCUUUCAAAUACAUGGGCCUUCAAAUUGGAGCAAAUCCGAGAAGGAUGUCGACUUCUCAACAAACUUAUUUUUUAAAUUAUGCUUGCCAUUCAUAAUCUUAAAAACUUACAAAAUUAUUUUUUCAAUGCAAUAUUUAUUUUUUAAUUCCACUUUUAGAUCUUUAUCUUGUGCCCUGGUUAACCUUUUUCUUUCUUUAUAUAUAAUAUAUAGAAUAGAUGAUACCCUCGUAAAGUAAUUGCAACUUAUAGAACCUAUUUUUAUUUUUUUUUGAUAGAAAGUAGGGAAACCAAUUUGAAGAGCACUUUCCUAACCUUGCAACAUAUAUGUGUAGGUGACAAUUAACUAUGUUUUGGGAAACUUGGGAAACACACAAAAGGAUUUUUCAGAGGCAAUGUCUGUGUUGGAAAAUGUUGUGGUGGAAUUGGGAAACACUUUGAGUGUUGCAUUAGGUGAUAUUGGAGGGGGAAUAACUAUUGAUGCAGUCUCAAGAGAGCAAGCAAAAAAAGCUCCACAAGUACCUCAGGGAGAGGAUCCAUACAUAAAAAAGAUUGUACUUAAAGGAAAGAAAUAUUACCUCUAUGUUCACAGGUUUUAUUCUUAUUCUUGGAUAUAAA